GACUGGAUAGCCUAGUGGUCAAAGGCCAGUGCUUCUAGCAAUGAUGGGGUCCCAGGUUUGAAUCCUGGUCUAGUCA
Molecule: transfer RNA, 76 nt
Filed under: Cronartium comandrae C4
Lineage: Eukaryota; Fungi; Basidiomycota; Pucciniomycetes; Pucciniales; Coleosporiaceae
Description: tRNA-Ala (AGC) (tRNA-Ala-AGC-10-1, tRNA-Ala-AGC-10-2)
Rfam family: tRNA
About the family: Transfer RNA (tRNA) molecules are approximately 80 nucleotides in length. Their secondary structure includes four short double-helical elements and three loops (D, anti-codon, and T loops).
Source: RNAcentral